Molecule: ribosomal RNA, 363 nt
Filed under: uncultured bacterium
Lineage: Bacteria
Description: bacterial SSU rRNA
Rfam family: Bacterial small subunit ribosomal RNA
Source: RNAcentral
AGAAAACGACCUGUAGUUAAUACCUGCAGGACUUGAUGUUACCUAUACAAGAAGCACCGGCUAACUCCGUGCCAGCAGCCGCGGUAAUACGGAGGGUGCAAGCGUUAAUCGGAAUUACUGGGCGUAAAGCGCGCGUAGGCGGUGAGUUAAGUCAGCUGUGAAAGACCCUGGGCUCAACCUGGGAAACUGCAGUUGAUACUGGCACACUAGAGUACGAGAGAGGGGGGUAGGAAUUCCACGUGUAGCGGUGAAAAUGCGUAGAUAUGUGGAGGAAUACCAGUGGCGAAGGCGGCCCCCUGGCUUGGUACUGACGCUGAGGUGCGAAAAGCGUGGGGAGCAAACAGGAUUAGAUACCCCUGGUAG